UUCUCUUUCGCUAGUGACACUCCUUUUAUGAAAAAAAAUAGCCAAAAUACCCUUACAGCAAAAUCAAAUUUACAAAUUUUCUCUCAUUUUGCACCAUUCCUCUCAUCUUCCUCUGUUUUUACAAUAAGUAGAAGCAAGCCUUAAAUCUCACCCAAAAUCUCAACAACAUUAAAGGCAUGUUGCGUACGUUGUUUACCAACUACGAGGGUUGGAUUAGAGUUAAACUUAAUAAUAUGUCUUUUGACUAAGAGGCUCAUGUAAGACCAACCACUUAUCUACGAACUCGGAAAGAAUCCCAAGAAGAACACAUGUAACCUGUAUACUUAGAUCAAGAGGAUCUCCAACAUGAGCAUAUGGAUCAACCUCCAUAGUUAGAUGUAGAGAAGCCCAAACAAGAGCACAUGGACCAACCUUCACAAUUGAAUGUAGAAGAGCCCCAACUGGAGCAUGAUGGAUUUCCUAGCAGUCUAUUGGGCACAUUUGUCCUUAGGACAUAUGGUGUCCACGUGUCUACUCAACUUUGAGAAGGAAUGAUAAGUUAAGAAUCAUAUUAUAUUUUU
Long non-coding RNA from Cicer arietinum (chickpea), 560 nucleotides. RefSeq lists it as uncharacterized. The record is from RefSeq and is a predicted model, not a curated record. NCBI's taxonomy places the organism in Eukaryota, Viridiplantae, Streptophyta, Magnoliopsida, Fabales, Fabaceae.